GUGGGGAAUAUUGGACAAUGGGCGAAAGCCUGAUCCAACCAUGCCGCGUGUGUGAAGAAGGUCUUCGGAUUGUAAAGCACUUUAAGUUGGGAGGAAGGGCAGUAAGUUAAUACCUUGCUGUUUUGACGUUACCGACAGAAUAAGCACCGGCUAACUUCGUGCCAGCAGCCGCGGUAAUACGAAGGGUGCAAGCGUUAAUCGGAAUUACUGGGCGUAAAGCGCGCGUAGGUGGUUUUGUAAGUUGGAGGUGAAAUCCCCGGGCUCAACCUGGGAACUGCCUCCAAAACUGCAUGACUAGAGUACGGUAGAGGGUAGUGGAAUUUCCUGUGUAACGGUGAAAUGCGUAGAUAUAGGAAGGAACACCAGUGGCGAAGGCGACUACCUGGACUGAUACUGACACUGAGGUGCGAAAGCGUGGGGAGCAAACAGGAUUAGAAACCCGGGUAGUCC
This 450-nucleotide ribosomal RNA is filed under the name uncultured bacterium. RNAcentral's name for it is "partial 16S ribosomal RNA". It matches the Rfam family "Bacterial small subunit ribosomal RNA", at positions 354 to 796 of the family's 1533-position model. The record is from RNAcentral.